Molecule: long non-coding RNA, 703 nt
Organism: Jaculus jaculus (lesser Egyptian jerboa)
Lineage: Eukaryota; Metazoa; Chordata; Mammalia; Rodentia; Dipodidae
Exons: 3
Source: RefSeq, a predicted model, not a curated record
AGGAAAAACAGACAAACAAAAGAGUGUGUGGGUUCUAUUUCAGGGACAAAAGAUUUUCAAGCACUACAGCCCAGCUCAUAAGGAUGCAAAUGUCAAAGACAGAGAACACGGCCACACUGUCCAUCUCUGGGAACGAACAGAAUCCAGCCAAACAAGAUAUCUUGCCCUCCACUCUGCACCUAACUGUAUAAGCUCUCCAUUGGCAGAGGAAUAAUCUGAAGAGGAGAUAGUCUUGUCCAUCUUGUGGAUCAGCCCUAAUGCCACAUGCAGUGAACAACACAGGAACAUGAUGGAGCAGCAAGCCCCAACAGGAGCCAUCAAUAGAACAGCUACCAGAUCUAUCCAAUCACAUGUUCUUGCCAGGACUGUGACACAUGACAAAGUGGCACAGGGGCAUCGAGACGACCUACAUCGCUAACGGCUCAGCACAAAUGUUACGUGGGGACAGCACUAGUGAAAGUGUCCUAAGUGAACAGUGACCCAUUACCAUUUGAUUUUUGGAUCUUUUACAUCCUCUAAUCUUGCUUCUCACUAUCCAUUUAGAUCAGUGGUGUGCCCAGUAUUCUUUUCAAUAAUUUGUUUUUAACCUACUCGUUCAUUUUGCCUUGUAUUAUUUGCAACCAAAAGCUUAACUGAUACAAUUUUUAUCUUUCCCCUUCUUCUUCUCUUCUCUCUACCACACUUCAUUUCUCCUACUCCCCAC